GGCUGAACCAUGGUUUCGUUUAGCUCCUCCCGUUCUGCGCUCCACCGUGUUCAGCGCACCACGCCGCCGCCACUCUCCGCCCCCCGUCGUCGCCGUCCCUGCCGGCGGCAGAGCGCGGCCGCAAACCAGCUGCACAGAUCGGUCCGGCGCACUCCGCACUUCGCCACUGCAACAUCCGACAGGUUUUGGAGGUUUAGCCAUGUGAUGAUUUCCUUCCACACUUCCUUUGUAAAGGAGCAAAUUUUGCACAGAUGGAUUGGGGUCUCAUUCUCUGUUCGACAUAGCUUGCAUAUUGGAUCAUGGGGUCAUCCCCUCUUCGCAAGAUUGAUGGCUGUUAAAAUUUUCCUGUGCAGCAGCAGCCAUGCAUAUUAGCUGUUCCUAGGUAUGUGCACAUGCUUUUUCUUUGAUGAUACUCUUGUGAACAUGGCUGAAGGAUUUGCUGCAGUUUUUGUUACAUUUAAGAUUGCUUUGGUCACAACUUUGUUCUAUAAAAGAGUUUAAGUCUGUGUCACUCAGGAUAGAAACUUGAUCUGGGCUGAGAUUACAGCUGUUGUUCUUGACAUGUAUCAGCUGCUCGCCAGUGAUGUAUUAGUACUACCAAUAUAAGGUUGCUGCGCGGUAGUGCAAACACGCUUCUCUUCUUAAGGUGACGCAUCUACCUUGAAUCCACUCUUUGAAUAUCAUUCAAUCGGUUAAAAAAAUAUAUUCACUGUUAUUAAUUCGCUUCCAUGAUCUGAUAUGUUUGCGAGGUGUAACCAUCCUUUUCUUACAGAACCCUUCAUGAUAGGAAAUAAAGUUUGAUAGAAACAGAAUUGAAAUUUCCUUGGAUUAGAAGUUUUUUGUCUGGCAGGAAAAGGAAGUGUCUUCCCCAUUAUUUGGUACCAAGCCGGGAAUGUCAGAAAUAUUUAUCUUCAUCUAGAGCUGCGUACAGACUCUAAACUAAGAGAGUUCCGCAUCGCCAAAUGUUAUGUCUACCAUCCAAUACUCUAUGGACUUUACCAACCCCAAUUGUUUCGGUAAGUUCAGUAGGGUGGUAUCGAAACUCUGAAGUCUGCCAGAUGCUUCUAGAUCGUAGAUGUGAGGGAAUUAAGGAAGCAAGUAGUGUACUCCAUCAGGCACUUUCUUUGCCCUCUAAGUCCCUCAGGCGUGCACAAGGACAGACUCACAGGGACCAUGCAUCCAGCAUAUAGCACAACUGUUUCUCUUCAUGAAGAAUGCAUCCAAAUCUCCAGUAGCAUAUAGCACAACUGUUUCUCUUGUUUCAGGAGAUUUCGUCCAUAACACCGGAAGCUCUGCAUUUUAGCAACGUGCUAUCUUUAGAAUAAACAGGUUAUAUGUUCACAUCAGCUUGAAGUGUCAUUCUGAAAUUUGUAUAUUGACACAAGGGAGGAAGACAAUGUUAAGUUAACUACCUUGUACUGGGAAUCAGAGAUGUCGUUAAACUGCACUCUUGUGUAGCUGAGUGCUUAUUUUGUUUGAUGUGCCUAUCUUCUGAAGGUUAGGUGCGCACUCAUGUCUGAAGUGUGCAAAAAAAAUAAAAAAAAUAAAAUCAUGUGUAUCUGUCCUUCAGUUGAAAAUUUUAAAUGAUACUAAAUCUCUACCUCCCUGAUUUUUGAGACCUUCUCUAACUUCAUGAUAUGGACCUGUUAUAGCUCUACGAAAAGCAGAAAAAAGUGGUAGCUUACCAUUUUCUCCUGGUAGAAGAAAUGGUAGGUUACCCACCAAACAAAAAAAAGAGGCGUAUGCAAAAAUAUAUUGCAAAUGUUUCAAAAGUUAGAAUAGUUAAUGAGUAAGUAAUAGGCUGAUGUAGCAUGGGACAACCCGAUCUGUUGGCUGGGCCAUCUCCUUGCAACCUAUCCUGGUGGCAAGCUUAAGAAUAGUUAUGUGGGCCAAGUCGGCCAAAUUGGUCAAUUUAGCCCGCCAUAUGAUCCUACUAGUGUCUGCCACCUUAAGAUUUCUGGUUCACUUUAAGCCUGAGGAAAACUUAUGUGUUCUCAUGAUUGCAUAUAAAAUCUUGUGAUAAUCCAUUGGCAAUUAUUUCUUGUGAUAUUCAAUUUUCACUUAUGUUCCUUUUGAAGUAAACAUGUUACUUCUUUUCUGAAAAGCAAAUACCUGUGGCUUCUUUCUCUCCAUGGUACACUUUGAAUGUCUGUGGUGUUCUACUUGUUAAAUCCUGCAGCUGUACAUGUUGCCGGUCAAGUCUGUCUAUCCAAGCAAUAAUGCUCUUCCGAAAGUAUCUCUAACCAUUGAUCAAGAGCAUUAAAGUUCUAUUUCUGAAUUCCUGAUGAGAAAAUUCACAUUCUGAACUAUAUCACUAUGGUCCAUCCAUGCAACCGCUGCUAAGAAGCUGGGUGCAUUGGACAAUGAAAACUUUAGCAGGUGAUCUCUGUGCUGCCAUGCCUACUUGGUUUGAUAAAUGACCAAUCUUCGUAAUGAUGUCUACAUUCUAUGCCUUUUGUUUUCUACAGUACAAAUCUUUAUUGACUAUAAGAUGAGGGAUGCACUAUUUUCACAAUUUUACUGUAAAACCUAGACAGCUAGGACCCUUCUGGUGUUUCUGGAGAACAUACCGGCUGUGGAACUUACCGUCUUCAAGUAACCUUCUUAUCAGUCUGAGCAUCAUGUUAUUCUGAUCAUUGGACAGAAAGCUGGAGCUAGUCGAUUGUUGGAGUUAUUAGGGGAACCAUCCAGCAAUCGAUCAGGUGCAGUUGUUCAAGGUCUAUUCUGAUUCGACAAUCUGGAUUCUCAGUUCAUACCAGUACCGAGUCUCAUGAGACCGAGUGAAAUUGUUUUUAUUCUGUAAACAAGCAGGCAGGAAAUAUUCAGAUCCUAAACAGGUAGUGGCCUAAACUGAACAUUCUUGAAAAACUGUGCACACUAAACUGUUCUAUUUGGUCUGUCAGUUGAUUCGCUUGCUUUUGUUUGUUUCUGUCAUACAAUUGAGGGAAAUUUGAUUA
Phragmites australis (common reed) is the source of this 2957-nucleotide long non-coding RNA. RefSeq lists it as uncharacterized. Lineage: Eukaryota; Viridiplantae; Streptophyta; Magnoliopsida; Poales; Poaceae. The record is from RefSeq and is a predicted model, not a curated record. The transcript has 3 exons.